Molecule: non-coding RNA, 343 nt
Organism: Cherax quadricarinatus
Lineage: Eukaryota; Metazoa; Arthropoda; Malacostraca; Decapoda; Parastacidae
Source: RefSeq, a predicted model, not a curated record
AAGCACCUCGCCUGACAGACCCUUAUGCAAUAUUAUUUAUGCCAAAGAUUAUGAUGAUAUCAUUUCCUGUGGACCAUCAUUAUUCCACUGGCAGACGUUGGAAUGUGGAAGUGGGAAGUCAAGUUAGACGGAGAUGCUUCAAGAAUGGUGAAGGUGUCUGUCACCGCCCGUCAACGAGACGCCUAUACCCUCCCCAUCACCACCAGAGUCUGGGUACCUUCACCACCGACGGGAGUCAGUGCACUCAAUACCAAAAUAAAAAUCUUUGCUGAAGUGAAACAAGGAAAUAACCCAAUCAUUAACGCACACGUCAGGUAAGAAAUAUGUUCUUUAAUUUCGCUAA